GGUUAAGCUAGAAAGGGCGCACGGU
This 25-nucleotide ribosomal RNA is filed under the name Geobacillus stearothermophilus. RNAcentral describes it as "partial 23S ribosomal RNA". Lineage: Bacteria; Bacillati; Bacillota; Bacilli; Caryophanales; Anoxybacillaceae. The record is from RNAcentral.